GUUUGAUCAUGGCUCAGGACGAACGCUGGCGGCGUGCCUAACACAUGCAAGUCGAACGGAGUUGAAAGGAGCUUGCUUUUUUCAACUCAGUGGCGGACGGGUGAGUAACGCGUGAGUAACCUGCCUUUCAGAGGGGGAUAACGUUCUGAAAAGAACGCUAAUACCGCAUAAGAUUGUAGUUUCGCAUGGAGCAGCAAUCAAAGGAGCAAUCCGCUGAAAGAUGGACUCGCGUCCGAUUAGAUAGUUGGCGGGGUAACGGCCCACCAAGUCGACGAUCGGUAGCCGGACUGAGAGGUUGAUCGGCCACAUUGGGACUGAGACACGGCCCAGACUCCUACGGGAGGCAGCAGUGAGGGAUAUUGGGCAAUGGGGGAAACCCUGACCCAGCAACGCCGCGUGAGGGAUGACGGUUUUCGGAUUGUAAACCUCUGUCCUCUGUGAAGAUAGUGACGGUAGCAGAGGAGGAAGCUCCGGCUAACUACGUGCCAGCAGCCGCGGUAAUACGUAGGGAGCAAGCGUUGUCCGGAUUUACUGGGUGUAAAGGGUGCGUAGGCGGAUUGGCAAGUCAGAAGUGAAAUCCAUGGGCUUAACCCAUGAACUGCUUUUGAAACUGUUAGUC
Molecule: ribosomal RNA, 619 nt
Filed under: uncultured bacterium
Lineage: Bacteria
Description: bacterial SSU rRNA
Rfam family: Bacterial small subunit ribosomal RNA
Source: RNAcentral